ACCCAAGUGGCUCAAGGGGCUCACACCGCCCUUUCACGGCGGUAACACGGGUUCGAAUCCCGUACGGGUC
This 70-nucleotide transfer RNA is filed under the name Streptococcus pneumoniae. Its description in RNAcentral is "tRNA-Glu(ttc)". The record is from RNAcentral. Lineage: Bacteria; Bacillati; Bacillota; Bacilli; Lactobacillales; Streptococcaceae.